Eptatretus burgeri (inshore hagfish) is the source of this 167-nucleotide small nuclear RNA. Its record names the gene U1. It matches the Rfam family "U1 spliceosomal RNA". Rfam says of the family: U1 is a small nuclear RNA (snRNA) component of the spliceosome (involved in pre-mRNA splicing). Its 5' end forms complementary base pairs with the 5' splice junction, thus defining the 5' donor site of an intron. NCBI's taxonomy places the organism in Eukaryota, Metazoa, Chordata, Myxini, Myxiniformes, Myxinidae. The record is from Ensembl.
AAUGCCACAUUUCGGUGGAGAUUCCGUGAUCACUAAGGCGGUUCUCGCAGGGUGAGGUCUGCUCUGUUCGUUCAGGGCGGGUUGAACCCUGCGAUUUCCCCCCAAAUGUGGGGGAAACGACCGAGCAAUUUGUGGUAGUGGGGGACUGUGUUGUGCACUGUCCCCUG